AAAUGAGAAAUACAUUAAAGUGUAGAUUUUUUUGAUAAAUAACUCAGUGGAAAUGUAAGUAGUGUCACAGCUGUGACAUGACUGUGUACACAUCCUCAACAGCAAGCAAAAACUUGAUCUUUUGCGUUUUUCUUUCAAGUGUCACAAUCCAUAGGACGAUUAACUGCAAAAAAGAAAGGAAACACAGUAUGACUGGAUAACUUUACAACAAAGUACACAAUGUGAGGGACUUGCACAGGACAUUGAGAGUGUAAUACAGCCCUGUUUACACACAAGUGAGAGCUUAGCACAAACAGCGGUAGGAUAGCACUCUGACCUAUUUGUCAUUAAACUGUGUUUUCUUAAAAGGUGAGCAUGUCUGGAAGCAUGCUGGAGACUGUCCUCAAACACUGGGAAUCCCGUGGGAGCUCAACUUCUCCAGGCCUGUGUACACAGUGCAAACAUGGGGUAAGUGGCCAGAAACAAGGGUAGGAAUUAGAGAGGGUUUUGUGACCACGGUUUAUCAGCAGCCUGCUCUCUGUUUGCCGUUGUGCAGAGGCGGGCUUCUUUGGUCUGCUUAAUGCUGUCCCUGUGGAGGUCAGGAGGUUGAUUCUGGCCCAUAGCCAGCAAACCAACAGCCAUUUUGGGCCCCUAGAUAGAGGCUGAGGUAUUCAGUGUUGGUAUAUCUGAUACGAGGUCUGGAGGAGUCUUGAACCCAACAGCAUGUCUACAUCCGGGACACAUUCUUCUCUUUACAGUGACCCAACAGCACUAUCCUCAGUAUGAUGUAGACAGCUUGUACAACACUAAUGCUGCGUUCGACUGGGGGGCCCCUUCAGAUUAUUGACACAGGACCAAGAACUGGCACGAUCUGCCCACUCCCUUUUUUCCAUAAGUCUCCAUGAGCCUGGGGUGUACACCUUCAAACUCAGCAGCCACCAACAUAGGCACAUGCGGUGACUCUGGUGUCAAAUUAAUUCUGGAACUGUGAAGAGCAAGUGGAUUUCGGAGCCUUCAGUUCCAGCACUUUCUACGACAUCCUACUCAAGCACAGCGUGUCUGUCACAAUACGUCUCGGGCAGCUCAGAGGAGAGGUGAAGCAGCUCUAUCAGGGGGUGCUGGGGAAGCUGAGAGAGCUCCACCCUGGCUGGGGGAUGUUUGGAGGGAAAACCGAAAGUCUGGAGAGGCAGGUGGAGCAGGAGAUGGUGCGACGGAGUGCACUGGGCAUUCAGCUGACACAGCUACUGGACAGCCAGCUGCAGAUCCUGCGGGUGGAGAUGAGAGCAGACCACAGCGGGCCAUGCAGAAGACCUUCAGAGACUGCUGGCUGAGGGUCAGACCUCGCUCUGGGAUAAACACAUCAAGCAACAUGAGCGAGUAGCUGAUGAGAUGACUGAGAUGGUAUCAGUGGAGAGCCAGAGGCUGGGGGCCUGGGUUGUGCUUAAAGAGGGCACUGGAGCACAACUAUUAUGCCCUGCUACUGGAUCAGUCCUCAGUAGGGAAGACGUCAUCGGUGAGGUGGGAAAAUGGGAAUCACCCCUGCUGUCUUUCAGUUCGUACCCUCCAUCCCGCCACGCUGAAAUCCAUGCUGCUUCCAAACUACGGGGGCUUCGUUCAGUCCAAUGGUUGGUGUUCCAUCUCGUGCUUGCGGCAGCCUAUUCAGAUUGGCUCUCCCAUGCUAGACCCUCGUACAGGUGACCUGGUGCUCAUCACCAGCGUCAGUCUUGAUCCCCAUACAGGAGCUGUACUACCAGUUGGGGGGCUUCUCUUGGGUGAGUCCUUCAAUAAGCCCUUGAGCGGCCGGAUGGCACGGGUUGGUGGAUGUAGUGUGCGAGGAGGAAAGGUGGUGCCUCAUGCUGGGGGUUUCCAGGCUCUGCUGGGCGCUUGCUUGCGGGUGGCGGAGCUCUUGCAAGGAUUCAGUGAGGAGUGGAGCUCAGCAGCUGCAGAUCCACAAGGUGACCUGGACAGAGUCUCGGCAGAAACAGUGGAGCUGGAGGAGGCCUAG
Cyprinus carpio (common carp) is the source of this 1984-nucleotide long non-coding RNA. The record is from Ensembl. NCBI's taxonomy places the organism in Eukaryota, Metazoa, Chordata, Actinopteri, Cypriniformes, Cyprinidae.